GUGGAUCGGCUGCCUGCUAUACAUGCAGUCGAGCGAACGGACGAGAAGCUUGCUUCUCUGAUGUUAGCGGCGGACGGGUGAGUAACACGUGGAUAACCUACCUAUAAGACUGGGAUAACUUCGGGAAACCGGAGCUAAUACCGGAUAAUAUUUUGAACCGCAUGGUUCAAAAGUGAAAGACGGUCUUGCUGUCACUUAUAGAUGGAUCCGCGCUGCAUUAGCUAGUUGGUAAGGUAACGGCUUACCAAGGCAACGAUGCAUAGCCGACCUGAGAGGGUGAUCGGCCACACUGGAACUGAGACACGGUCCAGACUCCUACGGGAGGCAGCAGUAGGGAAUCUUCCGCAAUGGGCGAAAGCCUGACGGAGCAACGCCGCGUGAGUGAUGAAGGUCUUCGGAUCGUAAAACUCUGUUAUUAGGGAAGAACAUAUGUGUAAGUAACUGUGCACAUCUUGACGGUACCUAAUCAGAAAGCCACGGCUAACUACGUGCCAGCAGCCGCGGUAAUACGUAGGUGGCAAGCGUUAUCCGGAAUUAUUGGGCGUAAAGCGCGCGUAGGCGGUUUUUUAAGUCUGAUGUGAAAGCCCACGGCUCAACCGUGGAGGGUCAUUGGAAACUGGAAAACUUGAGUGCAGAAGAGGAAAGUGGAAUUCCAUGUGUAGCGGUGAAAUGCGCAGAGAUAUGGAGGAACACCAGUGGCGAAGGCGACUUUCUGGUCUGUAACUGACGCUGAUGUGCGAAAGCGUGGGGAUCAAACAGGAUUAGAUACCCUGGUAGUCCACGCCGUAAACGAUGAGUGCUAAGUGUUAG
Molecule: ribosomal RNA, 810 nt
Filed under: Staphylococcus aureus
Lineage: Bacteria; Bacillati; Bacillota; Bacilli; Caryophanales; Staphylococcaceae
Description: bacterial SSU rRNA
Rfam family: Bacterial small subunit ribosomal RNA
Source: RNAcentral